Long non-coding RNA from Gopherus flavomarginatus (Mexican gopher tortoise), 315 nucleotides. RefSeq lists it as uncharacterized. Lineage: Eukaryota; Metazoa; Chordata; Testudines; Testudinidae. The record is from RefSeq and is a predicted model, not a curated record. The transcript has 2 exons.
CCCCCAAAGUUGGAAGACGACAUGACUUGGGGGAGUCACCAGCGGACAAGGUGAACGGGAAAGACGUCGCUCAGCUCGACGAUGCCUUUCAAGAGGCCUUUGAGAACUUACACAUCGGUAGCCCUGUCGUUCAUCAGCUGUUUUUGUUCCUGUCUGAGACGCAGAUCUCAAGAGGAAAAUCCGGAAAAGGACAAAGUAGAAAAAUGUACCAGAUCAGAGUCCCUCAUUGUAAGGGUUAUGGUGUCCAUUUUUACAGACAGCUGUCAAAGGUUGUGUUAAACCAGGCAAUUAAUUAAACUUAUUUAAAUGUGUCCA